RNAcentral lists this transfer RNA (75 nucleotides) under Prochlorococcus marinus str. MIT 9313. Its description in RNAcentral is "tRNA_Pseudo". Lineage: Bacteria; Bacillati; Cyanobacteriota; Cyanophyceae; Synechococcales; Prochlorococcaceae. The record is from RNAcentral.
AGGCGUUUGGCUCAGCGGUAGAAAGCCUGCCUUACAAACACGAUCUCGCUGGUUCUAUCCCGGCAUCGCUAAUCA